This 30-nucleotide non-coding RNA is filed under the name Homo sapiens (human). The record is from RNAcentral. Lineage: Eukaryota; Metazoa; Chordata; Mammalia; Primates; Hominidae.
UGAGCCUUCUUUGGUUUUGCGGGGAUGGUU